This 4226-nucleotide long non-coding RNA is filed under the name Xyrichtys novacula (pearly razorfish). The record is from RNAcentral. Lineage: Eukaryota; Metazoa; Chordata; Actinopteri; Labriformes; Labridae.
AAAUAACCCAAAAAUCCACAUUUUUAAAAGUCUUAUAACUUUUCAUUUUUGUCCUCACUGGCCUCCAAGUUUUCUAGGAUGAUGCAAUGUCCAGCCAUCAACACAUUUGUGAAGGAAUUUUUACUCGCCAAACGAGCGCCCCCCCAUGGCAGGAGAAAAAAGUCAAUUUUGUCUUGUCCCCUAAGGUGUAAAUUCACACUAUUGACUGUCACGCCUGUACGCUUUGUCAUAUUGACACAAAAAUUGACACACAUAUGUAUCUCAAUAAGAUCUACAAAAAAGUCAGUGCGGGCGUAUUUGUCAAAUGUACGGUUAAAGGGUUAUUUCGCAUUUUUUGCCGAUCCGCACACAUUGGAAUUUCGCUAACUCCUCCGAAGGCUUUCGUUCCACCGGCACCACAUUUGCUCAGGCCAAUCUACACCCCAUGGCCAUUAAAAUUUAUUCAAAUCAUGAUGCUGCACCCCACGGUUUAGGUUCUAGGGGGCGCCAAAAUAACCCUAAAAUCCACAUAUUUAAAAGUCUUAUAACUUUUUAUUUUUGUCCUCACUGGCCUCCAAGUUUUCUAGGAUGAUGCAAUGUCCAGCCAUCAACACAUUUGUGAGGAAUUUUUACUCCCUAAAAGAGCGCCCCCCCAUGGCAGGAGAAAAAAGUCCAUUUUUUCUUGUCCCCUAAGGUGUAAAUUCACACUAUUGACUGUCACGCCUGUACGCUUUGUCAUAUUGACACAAAAAUUGACACACACAUGUAUCUCAAUAAGAUCUACAAAAAAGUCAGUGCGGGCGUAUUUGUCAAAUGUACGGUUAAAGGGUUAUUUCGCAUUUUUUGCCGAUCCGCACACAUUGGAAUUUCGCUAACUCCUCCGAAGGCUUUCGUUCCACCGGCACCACAUUUGCUCAGGCCAAUCUACACCCCAUGGCCAUUAAAAGUUAUUCAAAUCAUGACGCUGCACCCCACGGUUUACGUUCUAGGGGGCGCCAAAAAUAACCCUAAAAUCCACAUAUUUAAAAGUCUUAUAACUUUUUAUUUUUGUCCUCACUGGCCUCCAAGUUUUCUAGGAUGAUGCAAUGUCCAGCCAUCAACACAUUUGUGAAGGAAUUUUUACUCCCCAAAAGAGCGCCCCCCCUAUGGCAGGAGAAAAAAGUCCAUUUUUUCUUGUCCCCUAAGGUGUAAAUUCACACUAUUGACUGUCACGCCUGUACGCUUUGUCAUAUUGACACAAAAAUUGACACACAUAUGUAUCUCAAUAAGAUCUACAAAAAAGUCAGUGCGGGCGUAUUUGUCAAAUGUACGGUUAAAGGGUUAUUUCGCAUUUUUUGCCGAUCCGCACACAUUGGAAUGUGGCUAACUCCUCCGAAGGCUUUCGUUCCACCGGCACCACAUUUGCUCAGGCCAAUCUACACCCCAUGGCCAUUAAAAUUUAUUCAAAUCAUGAUGCUGCACCCCACGGUUUAGGUUCUAGGGGGCGCCAAAAUAACCCUAAAAUCCACAUAUUUAAAAGUCUUAUAACUUUUUAUUUUUGUCCUCACUGGCCUCCAAGUUUUCUAGGAUGAUGCAAUGUCCAGCCAUCAACACAUUUGUGAAGGAAUUUUUACUCCCCAAAAGAGCGCCCCCCCAUGGCAGGAGAAAAAAGUCCAUUUUUUCUUGUCCCCUAAGGUGAAAAUACACAUUGUUGAGUGUCACGCCUGUACGCUUUGGCAAAAUGACACAAAAAUUGACACACACAUGUAUCUCAAUAAGAUCUACGAAAAAGUCUAUGCGCGCGUAUCUGUCAAAUGUACGGUUAAAGGGUUAUUUCGCAUUUUUUGCUGAUCCGCACACAUUGGAAUGUGGCUAACUCCUCCUAAGGCUUUCGUUCCACCGGCAACACAUUUGCUCAGGCCAAUCUACACCCCAUGGCCAUUAAAAGUUAUUCAAAUCAUGACGCUGCACCCCACGGUUUACGUUCUAGGGGGCGCCAAAGAUGACCCAAAUAUCCACAUUUUUUGAAGUCUUAUAAUUUUUUAUUUUUGUCCUGACUGGCCUUUUGUCCCACUGACACCAAAUUUGCUCAGGCCAAUCUACACCCCAUGGCCAUUCAAAGUUGUACAAAUCAUGACGCUGCACCCCACGGACAACCAUGAAGCUCCAUCCAAACCUGAAGCAGGCAGUUGGUGCAUGUGUACAGUACCCUGAGGGGAGUGAGGUGACUGCUUCUGAGGAGAACAUGAGCAGUGAAGAUUCACUUUGGAGCUAGAACAGAGACGUGCACAUGAUUAUACAGGGGCAGGGGCUCAAGUUUUUUCCAGUCGUUUAUACAAUAUGGAAAUUAAUGUGAAAUUAAAAAACAAAGUAUUAAUAGAAAGGUAAUGACUGUCCUGUGUAGGUGACAGUGAUAUCCAAUAGGCUAGGCACUCACGAGGCUGGCUGUGGCAAGUGUAAGUGAAAGCAACACACACUGGCAGGAAGAACAGCAAACGCAGAUGAAGGAAAAGGGUCUUUGCAGUGAUGGGCGUUACCAGAGAGGGCGAUGGCCAGAGGACGCGAAUGGGACGGGGAGGCAGCGCGUUGGGGGGGGCGGCGCGACACGGCUCGGGCCCGCCAGUGCCCCAACGGGGCCCUAGUCUGAUUAUGUUGCCUUCAGGAAAAGUGGGUACUUUGAAAGAUAUGACUAAACACUUUCUAUACACCGUAUUCACCUGAUAGCAGUAAAUACAGUUAUGCUGAGGACACAGUUAAUUUUUACAAGCUGUUUUGGACAACUCUUUGCAAUUAUCAAUAUAUAAAAACUGUAAAAUACAGCCGAUGUUAACUUUAACACCCAUACUUAAAGAAAAGAUGUUUUCCGUUUCCACAUACAACAGUUAAAGCAGCACAGUAUCAUGGACUACAAUGGCAUCCUCCUCAGCAAGAAACCUGUAGGCGUGCAGGUAAGAAAUGUUAUUUUUAGAAAAGGAACAGCAGAAAUGAUCCUAAAUAUCUUAAAGGGGGAAUUAUGCUUUUCCACAUCAACAACAAAAACUGCAGUUACAAAUUUAGUGUUCACAUAAUGUGUAUGCAAAGUUUCAAAUCACAAGGUUUCCUGAGCCACAGGCUGUGUCAUAAUUAUCAGCUCAUGGACUAAACUACCCUCCGGUGAAGACUGCUGAUCGGACCCUGGUGUUGAUCCUGGUUUUGGCUCUACUCUGGAUAGUUUCCAGAGUUUUGAAGCACUUUAUUUGAUGUCAUUUUAAAGAGGACCAUUUUAUUUUUCUGCGUGAAUCACUUGGACAAACACAGCCGUAGCUUUGGUUCUUCAAGCAGUCAGUGACAUACAUUUUUUGCCUUGAUUAUAGUUUUUCUUUUAGUUUUGUAACAUCUAGGAACCUCAGGGACAAAAACCCAGAUACGGAAAUACUUGGAAGACUCUACGUUUUCAGGAAAUGUAUGAUAUGUAGGGUUGGGUAUCGUUUGAUUUUGAACGAUUCCGAUUCCAAUUUCGAUUCCUCAUUUCGAUUCCGAUUCCUAUCGAUUCUCUAAUUCGAUUCUUUUAAAAGGCAGGAUAUCAAAAAGAAAAAAGAAAAAAAAAGCAUGGUUUGAAUGAGGGUGCUAACCGGGGCUCUUCUUUUUGGAUGAAAUUUCUGAACUUCUCCAUGAAUUUUUAAAUCCUAUUAACUUUUUAAGAACUUUACUAUGGAUUUCUCACAGAGCUAUUUUCAACCAGUAUAUAAAUAUCAAUUUUUGUUUUCAGGUCGUUUGUCUAUGAAAAAGCACAAGGGCUAACGUUAGAUGGAUAUUUAAGUUUACUCACCGUACACAGUUCAAUUUCUUUACCGUUUCAAAGUUAGCAGAGGACAGAAGUCAUUUAUUGUUUCACUUAUCUGAUCCUGACUGGUUAGCGGAAGACAGGUGUUGUGCUGUAGAAUGCACCCCUGCCGUAGAAUGCCUCCCCUUCACUGAUUAGCUUCUUAGUGGAAGAAAUAUGAUCUCAUAUUUAAUAAAACACGGGUAUUAGAUCAUGAAAACGUGUCAAAUGGAGCAGUAAACUUUCGUUUUGUUUGUAUGUGUCUCAAAAAUGCAAACAUAAAGGUGUACUUGGGUAUAUAAACUGUAGAGUAAGCUGUUAAUGUAGAGAACAUUAUAUUUUCAGGACAGUAAAUAUUCUGAAUCAGAGGGCUAUUGUUUUCGGCAUAUCUGAAUAGCCUGAAUGAAAUCAUUAAAGGCACACGCUUUAGAUUCCGUCCAACGGUAAGAAAAACUUGGAUUGUUUC